GGCCCGAGUUGACGGGCUCCCCGGUGCGUGGGUGCAACCAGGUGGUACAGCGGCGUUGGUCACUGCGGGGGGCGGGGAGAGACGUGCACCUGUUAGUGCCGGAGGGAAACGGGGUGCAGGGAGAAGCCGCGCCGCCCAACCCUCCCCCGCCCCGCCUCGCCCGGCCCCGCGCCCCCCGCCCGCAGCCCCCGCCCCUCACUCGAUAAAGAAGACUCGGCCGUCCCUGCAGACCCCGUAGGACCAGUGCUCAGGUAUGGUAUGACUUCAGUGGCUAUUUAAAAGUCCAUCUAACUUUCAGGAUUCUUUGAUUGUGUGAAGCUAAGCUUGUUCAUUAUAAUUAUACAACAUUCAGAGCAGAACCAGGAAAACAUUGCCCACAGUAACAGCAACAUUGUGUGAUGAUCAACUAUGAAUGACUUAGCUCUUCUCAGCAAUACAGUGAUCCAAGACAGUUACAAAGGACUCAUGCUGGAAAAUUCUAUCCACAUCCAGGAAAAGAACUGAUGGACUCUGAAUGCAGAUUGAAGCAUACUAUUUUUCACUUUCUUUACUUUGUUCAUUUUUUUUUCCUUUUGGUUUGUUUCUUCUUUCACAACUAUAAUUAAUAUGGAAAUAUGUUUUACAUGAUUGCACCUAUAUAACCUACAUCAAAUUGCUUACUGUUUUAGGGAGGGGAAUGGAAAGGUAAAGAGGAAGAAAAAAAAUGGAACUCAAAAUUUUGUAAAAAUGAAUGUUAAAAAUUGUCUUUAUAUACAAUUGGGGGGAAAGUACGAUUAAAAUAAUUAUAUGAUAUGCA
Long non-coding RNA from Antechinus flavipes (yellow-footed antechinus), 796 nucleotides. RefSeq lists it as uncharacterized. The transcript has 2 exons. The record is from RefSeq and is a predicted model, not a curated record. Lineage: Eukaryota; Metazoa; Chordata; Mammalia; Dasyuromorphia; Dasyuridae.